This 281-nucleotide long non-coding RNA is filed under the name Phaseolus vulgaris (common bean). RNAcentral's name for it is "long non-coding RNA (PVUL_LNC000090)". Lineage: Eukaryota; Viridiplantae; Streptophyta; Magnoliopsida; Fabales; Fabaceae. The record is from RNAcentral.
UCAAAAAUAAUAUUUUUUUUGAGUGUAAAGUAAUAUUAUUCUUGAGUGUAGUUAUCACUUAAAUGAUAAAAUUUGUUAUUUAAAAUAUAGUUUGAAAUUUGAGUCAUAGAAAUAUUAAAAUAAUUAUUUUUGUAACUAUACUUUUAUUGUUAAAGCAAUGAAGAAUUAGUGAUGUUAAAUAAUUGUUCCAUGCUUAUGAUAUUAGUAAGAAUCCUACUCUACCGUUAAUCUUAUUGUUUAAGUAAUAUAGAAUAACAUUCUAUUUAAACAUUGAAAGUAAG